This 484-nucleotide ribosomal RNA is filed under the name uncultured bacterium. RNAcentral's name for it is "partial 16S ribosomal RNA". It matches the Rfam family "Bacterial small subunit ribosomal RNA", at positions 29 to 507 of the family's 1533-position model. The record is from RNAcentral.
AUUGAACGCUGGCGGCAUGCUUUACACAUGCAAGUCGAACGGCAGCGCGGGCUUCGGCCUGGCGGCGAGUGGCGAACGGGUGAGUAAUACAUCGGAACGUGCCCAGUAGUGGGGGAUAGCUCGGCGAAAGCCGGAUUAAUACCGCAUACGACCUGAGGGUGAAAGCGGGGGAUCUUCGGACCUCGCGCUAUUGGAGCGGCCGAUGGCAGAUUAGCUAGUUGGUGGGGUAAAGGCCUACCAAGGCGACGAUCUGUAGCUGGUCUGAGAGGACGACCAGCCACACUGGGACUGAGACACGGCCCAGACUCCUACGGGAGGCAGCAGUGGGGAAUUUUGGACAAUGGGCGAAAGCCUGAUCCAGCAAUGCCGCGUGUGUGAUGAAGGCCUUCGGGUUGUAAAGCACUUUUGGCGGGAACGAAAAGGACUGUGCCAAUACCACGGCUCGAUGACGGUACCCGCAGAAUAAGCACCGGCUAACUACGUG